GAUGAACGCUGGCGGCGUGCCUAAUACAUGCAAGUCGAGCGAACAGGCGAGGAGCUUGCUCCUCUGACGUUAGCGGCGGACGGGUGAGUAACACGUGGAUAACCUACCUAUAAGACUGGGAUAACUUCGGGAAACCGGAGCUAAUACCGGAUAACAUGUUGAACCGCAUGGUUCAACAGUGAAAGACGGUCUUGCUGUCACUUAUAGAUGGAUCCGCGCCGCAUUAGCUAGUUGGUAAGGUAACGGCUUACCAAGGCAACGAUGCGUAGCCGACCUGAGAGGGUGAUCGGCCACACUGGAACUGAGACACGGUCCAGACUCCUACGGGAGGCAGCAGUAGGGAAUCUUCCGCAAUGGGCGAAAGCCUGACGGAGCAACGCCGCGUGAGUGAUGAAGGUCUUCGGAUCGUAAAACUCUGUUAUUAGGGAAGAACAAAUGUGUAAGUAACUAUGCACGUCUUGACGGUACCUAAUCAGAAAGCCACGGCUAACUACGUG
This 497-nucleotide ribosomal RNA is filed under the name uncultured bacterium. RNAcentral's name for it is "partial 16S ribosomal RNA". It matches the Rfam family "Bacterial small subunit ribosomal RNA", at positions 28 to 507 of the family's 1533-position model. The record is from RNAcentral.